AAGUCGUAACAAGGUUUCCGUAGGUGAACCUGCGGAAGGAUCAUUAUUGAAUAAACCUGAUGUGGUUGUUGCUGGCUCUCUAGGGAGCAUGUGCACGCCCGUCAUCUUUAUAUCUCCACCUGUGCACCUUUUGUAGACCCAGAAAGCUUGAGAAAUCAAGUCGUUUGGGCCUAUGUCUUAUCAUAUACCCCAUAGUAUGUAUUAGAAUGUAUCAGUGGGCUUCGUGCCUAUAAACACUAUACAACUUUCAGCAACGGAUCUCUUGGCUCUC
RNAcentral lists this unclassified non-coding RNA (271 nucleotides) under Psilocybe inquilina. RNAcentral's name for it is "partial internal transcribed spacer region". The stretch from base 1 to 46 matches the Rfam family "Eukaryotic small subunit ribosomal RNA", at positions 1786 to 1831 of the family's 1831-position model. Lineage: Eukaryota; Fungi; Basidiomycota; Agaricomycetes; Agaricales; Agrocybaceae. The record is from RNAcentral.